CCAGAUCAAUGAAGCAUGUGCUGCCAAUGCAAAGUGUCCCCUAAUGUAACAGAGGUUUUUGUACGACGCCUUCAUAGGAAUGUAUCACUGUGGAACACUUUUGGUGGAGGAACUAAACUGUCUGUGGGCCGUGACACCCAGCCCAGUGUGACAGUUCUGCCCCCCUCCAGUGUGGAGCUGCAGCAGGAGAAGGUCACACUCGUGUGUGUGGCCUACAAGGGCUUCCCCUCGGACUGGAAGUUGAGCUGGAAGGUUGACGGCAGCAGCUGGAGCUCAGGGGAGAGCCGCAGCGCCGCCGUUCUGAACGCGGACGGCCUCUACAGCUGGAGCAGCACGCUGAGCCUCCACCCAGAUCAGUGGAGGAACAAGGUGGUGACCUGUGAGGCCUUCAACUACAACCAACCUACUGUGAGUGUCAUUGUGUCGUAUCACAUCCUCCAACUCAGCACCUGCAGUCGCUCCCAGCUGCAGCAGUUCAGUCUCUCUACAAUCUGACUGAGGGAGGUUUUU
Tachysurus fulvidraco (yellow catfish) is the source of this 510-nucleotide non-coding RNA. The record is from the annotation of a RefSeq genome assembly. NCBI's taxonomy places the organism in Eukaryota, Metazoa, Chordata, Actinopteri, Siluriformes, Bagridae.